RNAcentral lists this transfer RNA (66 nucleotides) under Microtus californicus (California vole). RNAcentral's name for it is "tRNA-Phe". It matches the Rfam family "tRNA". Rfam says of the family: Transfer RNA (tRNA) molecules are approximately 80 nucleotides in length. Lineage: Eukaryota; Metazoa; Chordata; Mammalia; Rodentia; Cricetidae. RNAcentral also lists the same sequence under 9 other names. The record is from RNAcentral.
GUUAAUGUAGCUUAUUUAAAGCAAAGCACUGAAAAUGCUUAGAUGGAUGCAAGCAUCCCAUAAACA